Molecule: ribosomal RNA, 506 nt
Filed under: uncultured bacterium
Lineage: Bacteria
Description: partial 16S ribosomal RNA
Rfam family: Bacterial small subunit ribosomal RNA
Source: RNAcentral
AGUGAACGCUGGCGGUAGGCCUAACACAUGCAAGUCGAACGGCAGCACAGAGGAGCUUGCUCCUUGGGUGGCGAGUGGCGGACGGGUGAGGAAUACAUCGGAAUCUACUCUGUCGUGGGGGAUAACGUAGGGAAACUUACGCUAAUACCGCAUACGACCUACGGGUGAAAGCAGGGGAUCUUCGGACCUUGCGCGAUUGAAUGAGCCGAUGUCGGAUUAGCUAGUUGGCGGGGUAAAGGCCCACCAAGGCGACGAUCCGUAGCUGGUCUGAGAGGAUGAUCAGCCACACUGGGACUGAGACACGGUCCAGACUCCUACGGGAGGCAGCAGUGGGGAAUAUUGGACAAUGGGCGCAAGCCUGAUCCAGCCAUACCGCGUGGGUGAAGAAGGCCUUCGGGUUGUAAAGCCCUUUUGUUGGGAAAGAAAUCCAGCUGGCUAAUACCCGGUUGGGAUGACGGUACCCAAAGAAUAAGCACCGGCUAACUUCGUGCCAGCAGCCGCCGUAA